CCUACGGGGGGCAGCAGUGGGGAAUAUUGGACAAUGGGGGAAACCCUGAUCCAGCGACGCCGCGUGAGGGAAGAAGUAUCUAGGUACGUAAAGCUCUUUUAGCAGGAAAGAAAAUGACGGUACCUGACUCUGAAUCCCAGGCUAACUACGUGCCAGCAGCCGCGGUAAUACGUAGGCGGCAAGCGUUAUCCGGAUUUACUGGGUGUAAAGGGGGCGUAGACGGCUGCGUAAGUCAGAGGUGAAAUGCCGGGGCGCAACCCCGGAACUGCCUGUGAUACUGUGAAGCUGGAGUGCAGUCGAGGUAAGCGGAAUGCCUGGUGUAGCGGUGAAAUGCGUAGAUAUCA
RNAcentral lists this ribosomal RNA (344 nucleotides) under uncultured bacterium. RNAcentral's name for it is "partial 16S ribosomal RNA". It matches the Rfam family "Bacterial small subunit ribosomal RNA", at positions 338 to 699 of the family's 1533-position model. The record is from RNAcentral.